GAUGAAGAACGUAGCGAAAUGCGAUAAGUAAUGUGAAUUGCAGAAUUCAGUGAAUCAUCGAAUCUUUGAACGCACAUUGCGCCCGCCAGUAUUCUGGCGGGCAUGCCUGUUCGAGCGUCAUUACAACCCUCAGGCCCCCGGGCCUGGCGUUGGGGAUCGGCGGAGCCCCCCGUGGGCACACGCCGUCCCCCAAAUACAGUGGCGGUCCCGCCGCAGCUUCCAUCGCGUAGUAGCUAACACCUCGCGACUGGAGAGCGGCGCGGCCACGCCGUAAAACACCCAACUCUUCUGACGUUGACCUCGAAUCAGGUAGGAAUACCCGCUGAACUUAAGCAUAUCAAUAAGCGGAGGA
Molecule: unclassified non-coding RNA, 352 nt
Filed under: soil metagenome
Description: partial contains 5.8S ribosomal RNA, internal transcribed spacer 2, and large subunit ribosomal RNA
Rfam family: 5.8S ribosomal RNA (bases 1-120)
Source: RNAcentral